AGAGUUUGAUCAUGGCUCAGGAUGAACGCUAGCGGCAGGCUUAACACAUGCAAGUCGAGGGGCAGCGCGAUGUAGCAAUACAUUGGCGGCGACCGGCGCACGGGUGCGUAACACGUAUGGAAUCUGCCCUGUACUGGAAGAUAACCCGGCGAAAGUCGGACUAAUAUCCCAUAAUAGCCGAGGUGGCAUCACCUUGGUUUGAAAGCUCCGGCGGUACAGGAUGACCAUGCGCACGAUUAGCUAGUUGGUGAGGUAACGGCUCACCAAGGCUACGAUCGUUAGGGGGCCUGAGAGGGUUAUCCCCCACACUGGUACUGAGACACGGACCAGACUCCUACGGGAGGCAGCAGUGAGGAAUAUUGCGCAAUGGAGGCAACUCUGACGCAGCCAUGCCGCGUGCAGGAAGAAGGCGCUACGCGUUGUAAACUGCUUUUAUCCGGGAAGAAACCCCAGGACGUGUCCUGGGUUGACGGUACCGGAGGAAUAAGCACCGGCUAACUUCGUGCCAGCAGCCGCGGUAAUACGAAGGGUGCAAGCGUUAUCCGGAUUCAUUGGGUUUAAAGGGUGCGUAGGUGGGGCGAUAAGUCAGCGGUGAAAUCCUGCAGCUCAACUGCAGAAUUGCCGUUGAUACUGUCGCUCUUGAGUACGCUUGACGUGGGCGGAAUGUGCCGUGUAGCGGUGAAAUGCUUAGAUAUGGCACAGAACACCGAUAGUGAAGACAGCUCACGAAGGCGAAACUGACACUGAGGCACGAAAGCGUGGGGAUCGAACAGGAUUAGAUACCCCGGUAGU
This 792-nucleotide ribosomal RNA is filed under the name uncultured bacterium. RNAcentral's name for it is "bacterial SSU rRNA". It matches the Rfam family "Bacterial small subunit ribosomal RNA", at positions 8 to 794 of the family's 1533-position model. The record is from RNAcentral.